Triticum aestivum (bread wheat) is the source of this 115-nucleotide non-coding RNA. Lineage: Eukaryota; Viridiplantae; Streptophyta; Magnoliopsida; Poales; Poaceae. The record is from Rfam.
UUAAUACUCCCUCCGUCCGGAAAUACUUGUCAUUGAAAUGGAUGUAUCUAGAUAUAUUUUAGUUCUAGAUACAUCCAUUUUGUUGACGAGUAAUUCUGGACGGAGGGAGUAUGUG